RNAcentral lists this ribosomal RNA (836 nucleotides) under uncultured bacterium. RNAcentral's name for it is "bacterial SSU rRNA". It matches the Rfam family "Bacterial small subunit ribosomal RNA", at positions 54 to 904 of the family's 1533-position model. The record is from RNAcentral.
CAUGCAGUCGAACGAGAGAGAAGGAGCUUGCUUCUUCGAUCGAGUGGCGAACGGGUGAGUAACGCGUGAGGAACCUGCCUCAAAGAGGGGGACAACAGUUGGAAACGACUGCUAAUACCGCAUAAGCCCACGGGUCGGCAUCGACCUGAGGGAAAAGGAGUGAUCCGCUUUGAGAUGGCCUCGCGUCCGAUUAGCUAGUUGGUGAGGUAACGGCCCACCAAGGCGACGAUCGGUAGCCGGACUGAGAGGUUGAACGGCCACAUUGGGACUGAGACACGGCCCAGACUCCUACGGGAGGCAGCAGUGGGGAAUAUUGCACAAUGGGGGAAACCCUGAUGCAGCGACGCCGCGUGGAGGAAGAAGGUCUUCGGAUUGUAAACUCCUGUUGUUGAGGAAGAUAAUGACGGUACUCAACAAGGAAGUGACGGCUAACUACGUGCCAGCAGCCGCGGUAAAACGUAGGUCACAAGCGUUGUCCGGAAUUACUGGGUGUAAAGGGAGCGCAGGCGGGAAGACAAGUUGGAAGUGAAAUCUAUGGGCUCAACCCAUAAACUGCUUUCAAAACUGUUUUUCUUGAGUAGUGCAGAGGUAGGCGGAAUUCCCGGUGUAGCGGUGGAAUGCGUAGAUAUCGGGAGGAACACCAGUGGCGAAGGCGGCCUACUGGGCACCAACUGACGCUGAGGCUCGAAAGUGUGGGUAGCAAACAGGAUUAGAUACCCUGGUAGUCCACACCGUAAACGAUGAUUACUAGGUGUUGGAGGAUUGACCCCUUCAGUGCCGCAGUUAACACAAUAAGUAAUCCACCUGGGGAGUACGACCGCAAGGUUGAAACUCAA